GUCCCCGUAGUUCAAUGGACAGAACGAGAGCCUUCUAAGCUCUAAAUCGUGGUUCGAUUCCACGCGGGGGCACCA
Molecule: transfer RNA, 75 nt
Filed under: Candidatus Lloydbacteria bacterium RIFCSPHIGHO2_02_FULL_50_13
Lineage: Bacteria; Candidatus Lloydiibacteriota
Description: tRNA-Arg
Rfam family: tRNA
About the family: Transfer RNA (tRNA) molecules are approximately 80 nucleotides in length.
Source: RNAcentral